UACAGAGGGUGCGAGCGUUGUUCGGAAUUACUGGGCGUAAAGGGCGCGUAGGCGGUGCGGUAAGUCACCUGUGAAAUCUCCUGGCUCAACUGGGAGCUUGCAGGCGAAACUGCCGUGCUGGAGUGUGGGAGAGGUGCGUGGAAUUCCUGGUGUAGCGGUGAAAUGCGUAGAUAUCAGGAGGAACACCUGUGGCGAAAGCGGCGCACUGGACCACAACUGACGCUGAGGCGCGAAAGCUAGGGGAGCAAACAGG
Molecule: ribosomal RNA, 253 nt
Filed under: uncultured bacterium
Lineage: Bacteria
Description: partial 16S ribosomal RNA
Rfam family: Bacterial small subunit ribosomal RNA
Source: RNAcentral